AAAUUGAAGAGUUUGAUCAUGGCUCAGAUUGAACGCUGGCGGCAGGCCUAACACAUGCAAGUCGAACGGUAACAGGAAGCAGCUUGCUGCUUCGCUGACGAGUGGCGGACGGGUGAGUAAUGUCUGGGAAACUGCCUGAUGGAGGGGGAUAACUACUGGAAACGGUGGCUAAUACCGCAUAACGUCGCAAGACCAAAGAGGGGGACCUUCGGGCCUCUUGCCAUCAGAUGUGCCCAGAUGGGAUUAGCUUGUUGGUGAGGUAACGGCUCACCAAGGCGACGAUCCCUAGCUGGUCUGAGAGGAUGACCAGCCACACUGGAACUGAGACACGGUCCAGACUCCUACGGGAGGCAGCAGUGGGGAAUAUUGCACAAUGGGCGCAAGCCUGAUGCAGCCAUGCCGCGUGUAUGAAGAAGGCCUUCGGGUUGUAAAGUACUUUCAGCGGGGAGGAAGGUGUUGCGGUUAAUAACCGCAGCAAUUGACGUUACCCGCAGAAGAAGCACCGGCUAACUCCGUGCCAGCAGCCGCGGUAAUACGGAGGGUGCAAGCGUUAAUCGGAAUUACUGGGCGU
This 571-nucleotide ribosomal RNA is filed under the name Salmonella enterica subsp. enterica serovar Infantis. RNAcentral describes it as "bacterial SSU rRNA". It matches the Rfam family "Bacterial small subunit ribosomal RNA", at positions 1 to 561 of the family's 1533-position model. RNAcentral also lists the same sequence under 1 other name. Lineage: Bacteria; Pseudomonadati; Pseudomonadota; Gammaproteobacteria; Enterobacterales; Enterobacteriaceae. The record is from RNAcentral.